RNAcentral lists this ribosomal RNA (777 nucleotides) under uncultured Neocallimastigales. RNAcentral describes it as "partial large subunit ribosomal RNA". It matches the Rfam family "Eukaryotic large subunit ribosomal RNA", at positions 19 to 618 of the family's 3401-position model. The record is from RNAcentral. Lineage: Eukaryota; Fungi; Neocallimastigomycota; Neocallimastigomycetes; Neocallimastigales.
UCGAGCACGCGCGUGUGGCAUAUCAAUAAGCGGAGGAAAAGAAACUAACUAGGAUUCCCUCAGUAACGGCGAGUGAAGCGGGAAGAGCUCAAAUUUGAAAUCUUCAAGGUUUUACCUUGACGAAUUGUAGUUUAAAGAAGUGUUUUCUGUUGGUGUUUUGGUAAAAGUUCUUUGGAAUAGGACAUCAUAGAGGGUGAGAAUCCCGUAUUUGACCAUUACUUCCAGCGUUGUGAUACACUUUCAAAGAGUCGGAUUGUUUGGGAAUGCAGUCCAAAAUGGGUGGUAAAUUUCAUCUAAAGCUAAAUACUGGCGAGAGACCGAUAGCGAACAAGUACCGUGAGGGAAAGAUGAAAAGAACUUUGAAAAGAGAGUUAAACAGUACGUGAAAUUGUCAAAAGGGAAGCGUUUGACACCAGUGUUGUUUUUCCGAAAAUCAAUUACGAAUGUUUUGUUUUUGAGGAGUUAUGACUUCAUCGGCUUGCUCCUUUCUUUAUGAAACUUUCUUAAUGCACUUUUCGGUUAACAAGUCAACAUCAAUUUCUUUUGUUGUAAAAGGGUAUGAGGAAGGUGGCCUUCUUUUCGGAGAAAGUGUUUAUAGCCUUGUGCCUCUGCAAUCGGAGAGAUUGAGGACAGCAGCGUGGACUCCUUCUGGGGUUAGAUACACUUGUGCUAAGCUAUAGCCUUGUAUAGACAACUUGUUGACUAUGCUCAGUCAUGUAGCUUACUCGCUGAUGCUAUUCUACCUACGCUUAGGAUGUUGAGUCAUCACACAUCUCU